Molecule: ribosomal RNA, 207 nt
Filed under: uncultured bacterium
Lineage: Bacteria
Description: partial 16S ribosomal RNA
Rfam family: Bacterial small subunit ribosomal RNA
Source: RNAcentral
CGUCUAGGUGGCUUAUUAAGUUAGAUGUGAAAGCCCUCGGCUCAACUGAGGAACUGCAUCUAAUACUGAUAUGCUUGAGUCCAGGAGAAGGGAGCAGAAUUCUCAGUGUAGCGGUGAAAUGCGUAGAUAUUGAGAAGAAUACCAGUGGCGAAGGCGGCUCCCUAGCCUGAGACUGACACUAAAGCGCGAAAGCCAGGGGAGCGAACG